RNAcentral lists this ribosomal RNA (465 nucleotides) under uncultured bacterium. RNAcentral describes it as "partial 16S ribosomal RNA". It matches the Rfam family "Bacterial small subunit ribosomal RNA", at positions 28 to 507 of the family's 1533-position model. The record is from RNAcentral.
GACGAACGCUGGCGGCGUGCUUAACACAUGCAAGUCGUACGGUAAGGCCCUUUCGGGGGUACACGAGUGGCGAACGGGUGAGUAACACGUGAGUAACCUGCCCACAACUUUGGGAUAACGCUAGGAAACUGGUGCUAAUACUGGAUAUGUGCUCCUGCUGCAUGGUGGGGGUUGGAAAGCUCCGGCGGUUGUGGAUGGACUCGCGGCCUAUCAGCUUGUUGGUGGGGUAGUGGCCUACCAAGGCGGCGACGGGUAGCCGGCCUGAGAGGGUGACCGGCCACAUUGGGACUGAGACACGGCCCAGACUCCUACGGGAGGCAGCAGUGGGGAAUAUUGCACAAUGGGCGCAAGCCUGAUGCAGCAACGCCGCGUGCGGGAUGACGGCCUUCGGGUUGUAAACCGCUUUCAGCAGGGACGAAGCUUUUUGUGACGGUACCUGCAGAAGAAGCACCGGCUAACUACGUG